UUAUAGCAUUCGCUAAUUUAUCAGACAGAAAUUUUCUUAACUGAGUUUGGGGGUGCCGUCGGCGGGCUAACACCCCGGGAUUGCGCCCGGUGAUGCCGCCGAAGCAACAGAGUUUUUCACAAAGGGUGUACUGUCGGGGGCCGAAACCACCCUCCAGCAGGCCUUGCGGCCAGUUUUGGUAAUGAUCCUUCCGCAGGUUCACCUACGGAAA
This 211-nucleotide unclassified non-coding RNA is filed under the name uncultured fungus. RNAcentral describes it as "sequence contains ITS1". The record is from RNAcentral. Lineage: Eukaryota; Fungi.